GAAGAUUCCACUUCGUAAAGAGAGAAAACCAAGGCGCCGAGAAGCUGCACUGAGCGAGAGUACAGGAGGAGUCCUUGUCAGCAAAUGGGCCCUCGGUUGACCAUGAAGCGUUCAUCUCAGCAGAUAAGUUUCUACCUGGGGCUCACAUCAAAUGAUUCUUUCUUCUCUGGAUCCAUACUUUUCAUACCAGGAAGACUCAGAGUCCAGCCAAGAGCUGAUUUCCAGCUGCCAGCGUCAAAAAGCGAAAGUCCUCUGUUGCUACAGCACGUUGCUAGGGAACGAAGAACCAGUGUUGCUUUGAUAUAAGUGUGAAGUGAGUUGUGUCAGGAUGUCAUUAUCCCACAUCGCUGUUAUGUAAGAAUGAAGUAAGUCAUGUCAUGAUGUCAUCAUUCUACAUCUGCUGUCAUUGAUAAGCAGUCAGCAGCCCAUCUGUGGGUCCACUGGGGUCUUAUCUAUAAUGAACACAUGGAGAAGCAACUAUGGCAAGGGGACAUUAAGGCUAUAAACACUGAGAGUUUGUGAGGGAUAUUUGAGACUUUCCGUUUGGGCCAGGUGACCCUUCCCUAACCUAAAAACUCCUCCAAAUACCUUUGGGGCAUUCUUUCGCGUCUUGGCGAGACAUUUCUUCUGGAUGGUGGUGAUAUGCCUCAUCUGAAACCGCUAGAAAGCGAUCAGCCUGCCUACCAGCACUGGCGUCUCUGUUCCCUAGCAACAUGCCCUAGCAACAGAGUACUUUUACUUUUGUGCUGGCAGCUGGAAAUCAGCUCUUGGUUGGACAGUGGCUCUCCUGAGUGCCUCCAAGUAUAUAAAGGGCCCUGGGCCCUCUUGAGACUCCUGCUGCAGGGGGUGGUGCUCCCCGGUGCACACGUGGCACCCCACCAUGUUGGAUUUCACACGUGGAUUAAUGGACUUGAAUCUGGCCUGAAUGCUAAACCACACCUGGCUGCAACAUGGAACAGAAACUCUGGAUGCUGGCCUAGUUGCUGACUCUAUUGAACACCCAAUGCCCCUCUUCAGGACUGGCUUAGGGGAAAUGGGACAUUGCAAUCAUGCCAAUAAAAUCUUCUACCGCCUCUCAUCCUCCCGUGGGGGGCUUCUGAAAGUGCUGAUUUCAGCAGUGCCCCAAGAGCCCCACAAACAAUGGAGGAUUCCCACGUGUGUACCCCUCCAGCAGCAAUAGGAGGAGUAGAGACAUGAAGAGGAAGAAAAGAAUUUCCAUUCACUUGACCUCUUCAUCCAUAGGCUUGCACGAAAACACCAACAAUAGUGCUUAGCUGGUCCCCGUUUUAUUUAUUAAAUUUGGAGUAUCUUGAA
Molecule: long non-coding RNA, 1314 nt
Organism: Myotis brandtii (Brandt's bat)
Lineage: Eukaryota; Metazoa; Chordata; Mammalia; Chiroptera; Vespertilionidae
Exons: 3
Source: RefSeq, a predicted model, not a curated record